RNA transcript from Ipomoea nil (Japanese morning glory), 2008 nucleotides. RefSeq lists it as uncharacterized. The transcript has 13 exons. The record is from RefSeq and is a predicted model, not a curated record. NCBI's taxonomy places the organism in Eukaryota, Viridiplantae, Streptophyta, Magnoliopsida, Solanales, Convolvulaceae.
GAUCUUUUCGCUAAUCGUCUACCGUCGGCCUCUUUUGUCCAAAUCUCUAUUGGUUUAUGAAAAAGAGGGGAAGAGAGAGAGAUGAAGGCUUCAAGACCUAGCUAGAAUGGAGAAAAAUUUACAGCUAGCAACAAUGAGCAGGAAAAACAAUCAGCUCAAGUCUUCGAUUCUUCACUCGUAACACUUCCUUCGAAAUCCAAGUUGGUUGUGGUUAGAGGAAUUCAAGUUCUUGAGAGUGGCGGAAUCACGGGAACAUCAUAUGUUGUCCUUGCUGGGCUCAUUUCAACUUUGAAAGUACUUGGUGGAGCGUUAAUUGACCAGACUUUCUUGUUCCUAGGCGCCAGAGAGGUUGGAACUGGAAUAGUUGAGCUUAUUGCACUUGAAAUUUCAAAGAAGUCAGGGGUUGCGCUAGAUGAAAUUCGAAAAAAGAUUUGAGUUGUCGACUCAAAGGCACUUGCACUAAUCUCAUCAAUUUUGACUAGCUUCAUAAUAAUGCACAUUUUCUUUACUACUGCCAUGAACUUACCAUUUUCACCGGUAAAACUUGUUUGGCUUUAUAUCAGGGACUGAUUGUGAAUUCUCAAUUAGAAAUGCUUCAGCACUUCAAAAGGCCUUGGGCUCACGAACACUGUUGAUAACUGCAACAACCCGGGUUCCACUUGAGCAAGCAAGGCAUGGAUUGACACCAACACCAAUUGCGAAAACUAGAGAAUGAUCAACACUCAGCGGGGUGUUUGCUGGGUAGAGUCUCGAAUUCAAGCUUUUGAGGGAGCCCGUGAAAGAAAUUGUCACUGGCGUGGUGUCUGCGAAAAUCUUGUAUACUAAAGUUUGCUUGCUAUAGAGAUGGCAAAGAGUUUAUUCAAGCAACAGCAUGAACUUGGUUUGUAUAAUUUUCCUUUGUGUUUGUGUAUUAGCUAUUUAGCUGAAUUGGUGUUAAUUUUCUGAGUGGAAUAAUUUCAAAGAAGAGGCGGGUUGAGGCUGGCCGGAUUGGGGAAAAAUGAUUAUGAAUCCCGGCAUGCAUCAGGGAAGGUCCAAGACAUGACUGGAUCAGGCCUGAAAUCAAGUCCAUUUACGACUCCCCGCUUCUCGAUCUCCUCUUUCACGGCGCUCAAGUUCAUAGGCAUGCUCUCAACUUCUGGGAGGUACAUCAGUGCACUCUUCUGUCUAUAAAGACGGGAGGUUGCAGCGAGGACUGCUCUUACUGUCCUCAAUCCUCCAGGUACAACACUGGUGUCAAAGCCACAAGCUUAUGGGCAAGGAUUCCAUUCUAGAGGCAGCAAAAAAGGCAAAAGAGGCCGGUAGCACUUGAUUUUGUAUUGGUGCUGCAGGGAGGGAUACUAUAGGAAGGAAAACCAAUUUCAACCAAAUCCUUGACUAUGUGAAACAAAUAAGAACAAUGCUGGAAGGAAGUGGCUUAGGAUAUUUCAACAGGAUUGGAUCUUCCUUCAGAAUAACUUGCCUGGACUUUGAAGAACUUUUCAAAGAGCACUUCAGGAGGCGCUGUUAUUACAUUCUCAAAGCAUGUGAUGCCUAUAUUGAGAAAUUUGCUCCUUUGGAUGAGUGAAGAGACCAAAUGGAGCUCCAUACAUCAACCAAGGUGUGGGAUGCGGGGAAAUUAUGUUGCUGAUAAUAGGCAAGGAGAUGAUGAAGUGAUUGGUGCGCCCGUGCGAGAAAUAGCCUGCCGAUGCGAAGUGGCAAGGGCGCAAGUCGGGUAGCCUUGGCACGAUUUGGGGCGCGAAACGUCUUGGUGUGUUUUGGCGGGACUUAGUGCGAACCUUGGGGUUUGGGUUCCAGCCAGUCAAGCGAUUAAGCAGAGUGGAUAAGGAUCAGAUUUUGCAAUUCAAAUGCUUUUAUCUGAUUGGCUAGGCAAUUGGUCUUGUAACCGUCGUCCCUCUAUAAAUAGCGUGUCCAUGGCAUUUUGUAGGAAGUGUUGAGAGUUUUGGUUGUGAGUAGGCCUAUGAGUGUGUAAGGGCAAAUUAUUGUAUCAACAAUAUUAAUGUACUUUAUG